Molecule: non-coding RNA, 203 nt
Organism: Pelobates cultripes (western spadefoot toad)
Lineage: Eukaryota; Metazoa; Chordata; Amphibia; Anura; Pelobatidae
Source: the annotation of a GenBank genome assembly
CCGUAACAAAGCACUAGGAAAUAAUGUUACAAAUAAACUAACAGAAAGUGUUAAACCAAAUAAUUGCAUUUAGCUAACACAAAGUAUCUAAACCAGGAGAUACAAAUUGUCACAGACCACAAAAAAAACACUUAUGGAUAGCACUCAUUAUUUGCAAAGUCUCUGAGAAUAAUGAGCUUAAAUAACAGUCUCUUUAGUUUGCC